This is a long non-coding RNA of Zootermopsis nevadensis, 413 nucleotides long. RefSeq lists it as uncharacterized. Lineage: Eukaryota; Metazoa; Arthropoda; Insecta; Blattodea; Termopsidae. The record is from RefSeq and is a predicted model, not a curated record.
GAGAGAAUUGUUUGGUUCUCCAAGAGGCGACUGACUGGCUGUAAUGAAGUGUCGCGUUUAGUCUAAGUAUCUGGACAACAAAGGCGUGAACACUCGACACUUGGCAAACAUUACAGUCAAGGCGCAGAAACAUGCAGAGACUUUAUAGUACUUCAGUGGCCUCAGAAAUGCAUGUAACACGAUGCAUGCAUUGGCUUACCUCCUACCACAAGAUAAAGAGUUCAUAAACUCUUAAUCGGGCUCACAAAGGACACCACUGGACACCUCUGACCCCUUGACACUCAGAGAUUUGGCUUUCAUGAUGCAAUGCAUAGAGUGGCCUUCUGAUGCUGAAGACAAGUUUCUGGCUGCAAAGGAAUCCCACACUUCAUUUGGCGAGGUUCAGCGACACCUGAAAUUCAUCUUCCCUGCCU